RNAcentral lists this ribosomal RNA (251 nucleotides) under uncultured Armatimonadota bacterium. RNAcentral describes it as "uncultured Armatimonadetes bacterium partial 16S ribosomal RNA". It matches the Rfam family "Bacterial small subunit ribosomal RNA", at positions 796 to 1041 of the family's 1533-position model. The record is from RNAcentral. Lineage: Bacteria; Bacillati; Armatimonadota.
CUAGCCGUAAACGAUGGAUACUAGGUGUUAGAGGUAUCGACCCCUCUAGUGCCGAAGCUAACGCAUUAAGUAUCCCGCCUGGGGAGUACGGCCGCAAGGCUGAAACUCAAAGGAAUUGACGGGGGCCCGCACAAGCGGUGGAGCAUGUGGUUUAAUACGUCACUAACCGUAGAACCUUACCCAGGUUUGACAUCUGGGGAAUCCUGGUGAAAGCCGGGAGUGCUUCGUAAGAAGAACCCCAAGACAGGUGU